This 1067-nucleotide small RNA is filed under the name Histoplasma capsulatum var. duboisii H88. RNAcentral's name for it is "Histoplasma capsulatum H88 hypothetical RNA". The record is from RNAcentral. Lineage: Eukaryota; Fungi; Ascomycota; Eurotiomycetes; Onygenales; Ajellomycetaceae.
UGCUUUUUAACUCUAUCUGCGAGUCUACGACCCAUUGGGUCCCAAAUGGCCCGCGCACUGCAGCCAGCAGGGCACGUCAAGCUUGUCAAGCAAGACCCAACCAAGCCCACCCACGGAGGGGCCACGACUUCAGCUACCUCUAACUGUGCAGUGACGCAGCAGGUCGUUCCACAGCUCCGCAAGGAGUAUAUAUACUUUCUUACAUGAACCGACGUACUAACCAGGUAAGUUAAAGCAGAGAAGGGAAAAACGACGAACGAGGGAAAAGGAAAACUACCCAGUAGUGCGCGAACGACUGCAGUACAUUGCGUCCGUCCAUCCUUCAAAAGAAUUUUUUUUUUGUUUCAAUUGACAAUACUCCCUUCGUUUUCUUUUUCUUCACACACAAGUUCAAAUUCAAAAAAGUUUCAACAACCGAGGACCCCAAGCUUAUCUCCCCAAUCGUUUCACUAUCGUCAAUCAUCCACAACCCAGGAGGAGGGGAGUGGGGAUGUCGAUGUCUGUCUUGUGUUUGGGUGAGAGAAGUCUCGUCCCUCUCCUCUCCCCCCAUCGCGGCUAGGCUAGUUGAAACCUGGGCGUCAGCACCACAAGCACCGCAGACACAGGAAGCAACCUCCACCCCCUCCCAAAGGUCUCAGCCCCAGGUACCAUCGGGCCAUUUUUGACCACCAUGGAUGAACUUCCCCCAAUACAGUAGCUACAUAGUUGGUUGGCACGAUUUCAACGCUGCGGAAUUCAAGGGAAAAUCAGGAGGAGUGGGAUAGUUGCUGGAGGAAAUUGAAGUGGCAGGGCAAAAAAAACCAGGGCGUUUUUCUUUUUUGUUUUUGUUUUUGUUUUUGUUUCCUUUCUCCGUUGUCGAUCAGGGGGAUCUGUGGAAAAGGACAGUCUACGUCUAACUUCUGUCUCCCCCACACCAUUUUCUGUCUUCUGCAGAAAGGAUCAGGGAGGAAGACGAGUUAUUGGUUUAGUUAUUUGGUUUACUGAUUUAUGGAUUCGUUUUGUCACAAGAUUUCUUGCCGUCCCUAAGCGGGAGCGGAAAGGGUUUUUUUGGGAAGGUAGAUCGGGAU